Molecule: long non-coding RNA, 612 nt
Organism: Myotis lucifugus (little brown bat)
Lineage: Eukaryota; Metazoa; Chordata; Mammalia; Chiroptera; Vespertilionidae
Exons: 4
Source: RefSeq, a predicted model, not a curated record
AAUUGGAGUUUUACUUAGAUCAUUACUGCAAGGAUUACACAGUGCUUUUCAGAACUACUGAAGAAGUAUGCACGAUUGAUCAGGAUUGUUGCAGUGGUGGUGUCAGUGAACUAUGGCCUUCCGGUAGAACCAGGGCUGUGUACCUUGUUUCCGUACCGUCCUGUUCCAGUGGAACCAUUGCCUCUUCCUAAGCUGAGUUUGACUGAUUGUUGCAGUGGUGGUGUCAGUGAACUAUGGCCCUUCCGGUAGAACCAGGGCUGUGUACCUUGUUUCCGUACCGUCCUGUUCCAGUGGAACCAUUGCCUCUUCCUAAGCUGAGUUUGACUGGCCACUGAUGGGUGUGUCAGAGUUCUUUCCGUGGGACAGAGUGAAAGAAUUGCCACCAACAACCGCCGCACGUCCAGCUACCCUGUCUGCAGAGCCAGGGAGCAGGUGAGACCUGCCAUGGCUUGUCCCCAUAGCAGUGCUAUGAGGUUGACCAAGCAGCAGCCCACAUUUCAGAGGAGCAUCCUGAGACUCGGGAAGAUGUGGUGACGUUUCAGCCUCAGAGCUAGCAGUGGGCAGAGUCACGAGUGUGUGCUCACCUAGUGAAAAGCUCGUCCAGGAACCGCU